UGUGAGAUCUGACGGAACCACCUGUGUUGAUGUCGUGUGGUGACCAAUAACUACGUGCUGGAGAGCCCUACCCCUCCUCUCCGCCAGUGCUUACAGAAUCGCCAAACAAAUACGUUGAUAUUUUUCGGUGCAAUGCAGAAGUACAUGCAUUGUGUGAGGGACUGCCAUUCAAAGCGCAACGUGCUGCCGAGAUGGUGCCUAUUAUAAUGCUGUUAUAUGGAUUCCACAAGAGGAGAAGAGUGCGAGAGGAGUCUCUGCUGCGUCACCGGCACUGAGGUCUUUGGUUCGCAUCCAGACGGACGACUGUAUCGAAUCUCACAACAGGACUCCACUGCCUCCUUCAGUACUAUCAUUAAGAAGUGCAGUCUAUAACUACGGAAAAGUGAGUUUCGCACUUAAUGCAGUAGCUCAGGAAGUGACCAGCUGCGUCAUUGUUGAGGCAAACACCACAUUCUUCGUCUGGAC
Long non-coding RNA from Cryptotermes secundus, 465 nucleotides. RefSeq lists it as uncharacterized. The record is from RefSeq and is a predicted model, not a curated record. Lineage: Eukaryota; Metazoa; Arthropoda; Insecta; Blattodea; Kalotermitidae. The transcript is spliced from 3 exons.